This 204-nucleotide unclassified non-coding RNA is filed under the name Hevea brasiliensis (rubber tree). Lineage: Eukaryota; Viridiplantae; Streptophyta; Magnoliopsida; Malpighiales; Euphorbiaceae. The record is from RNAcentral.
UUCGUCUCAAGAUGGUCGAACAGGUUGGCCUGGAUAAACUUAUAUGUAUAACUGAAAAUAUUAUCAUCUUUUUUGUUUGGAAAUGUGACAUUGAUGUUAUUAUUAGUUUAUUUAUUAGCGGUUAUUUGUUCUUAAUCCGAAUCCAAUCUUUUUUUUUAAUAAAAAAUUUGACUUUAAUGGUGUUUAUUUCUUUAUUUUUUUUGG